ACGAACGCUGGCGGCGCGCCUAACCCAUGCAAGUCGAACGAGCGAGAGAGAGCUUGCUUUCUUGAGCGAGUGGCGAACGGGUGAGUAGCGCGUGAGGAACCUGCCUCAAAGAGGGGGACAACAGUUGGAAACGACUGCUAAUACCGCAUAAGCCCACGGUGCCGCGUGGCACAGAGGGAAAAGGAGCAAUCCGCUUUGAGAUGGCCUCGCGUCCGAUUAGCUAGUUGGUGAGGUAACGGCCCACCAAGGCGACGAUCGGUAGCCGGACUGAGAGGUUGAACGGCCACAUUGGGACUGAGACACGGCCCAGACUCCUACGGGAGGCAGCAGUGGGGAAUAUUGCACAAUGGGGGAAACCCUGAUGCAGCGACGCCGCGUGGAGGAAGAAGGUCUUCGGAUUGUAAACUCCUGUUGUUGGGGAAGAUAAUGACGGUACCCAACAAGGAAGUGACGGCUAACUACGUG
RNAcentral lists this ribosomal RNA (465 nucleotides) under uncultured bacterium. Its description in RNAcentral is "partial 16S ribosomal RNA". It matches the Rfam family "Bacterial small subunit ribosomal RNA", at positions 29 to 507 of the family's 1533-position model. The record is from RNAcentral.